AGCCUCGUAGCUCAAGUGACCAGAGUGUUGGCUGUAUUAAGGCCUUCACCUUACUGUCGUGAGUUCGAAUCCCACCGAGGCCA
This 83-nucleotide transfer RNA is filed under the name Schistocephalus solidus. It matches the Rfam family "tRNA". From Rfam's summary of the family: Transfer RNA (tRNA) molecules are approximately 80 nucleotides in length. Their secondary structure includes four short double-helical elements and three loops (D, anti-codon, and T loops). The record is from Rfam by way of RNAcentral. Lineage: Eukaryota; Metazoa; Platyhelminthes; Cestoda; Diphyllobothriidea; Diphyllobothriidae.